RNAcentral lists this ribosomal RNA (87 nucleotides) under Stylophorum diphyllum (celandine poppy). RNAcentral describes it as "partial 5.8S ribosomal RNA". It matches the Rfam family "5.8S ribosomal RNA", at positions 73 to 154 of the family's 154-position model. Rfam says of the family: 5.8S ribosomal RNA (5.8S rRNA) is a component of the large subunit of the eukaryotic ribosome. It is transcribed by RNA polymerase I as part of the 45S precursor that also contains 18S and 28S rRNA. Functionally, it is thought that 5.8S rRNA may be involved in ribosome translocation. The record is from RNAcentral. Lineage: Eukaryota; Viridiplantae; Streptophyta; Magnoliopsida; Ranunculales; Papaveraceae.
UGCAGAAUCCCGUGAACCAUCGAGUUUUUGAACGCAAGUUGCGCCCUAGGCCAUCCGGCCGAGGGCACGCCUGCCUGGGCGUCACGU